GAUGAACGCUGGCGGCGUGCCUAAUACAUGCAAGUCGAGCGAACGGACGAGAAGCUUGCUUUUCUGAUGUUAGCGGCGGACGGGUGAGUAACACGUGGAUAACCUACCUAUAAGACUGGGAUAACUUCGGGAAACCGGAGCUAAUACCGGAUAAUAUUUUGAACCGCAUGGUUCAAAAGUGAAGGACGGUCUUGCUGUCACUUAUAGAUGGAUCCGCGCUGCAUUAGCUAGUUGGUAAGGUAACGGCUUACCAAGGCAACGAUGCAUAGCCGACCUGAGAGGGUGAUCGGCCACACUGGAACUGAGACACGGUCCAGACUCCUACGGGAGGCAGCAGUAGGGAAUCUUCCGCAAUGGGCGAAAGCCUGACGGAGCAACGCCGCGUGAGUGAUGAAGGUCUUCGGAUCGUAAAACUCUGUUAUUAGGGAAGAACAUAUGUGUAAGUAACUGUGCACAUCUUGACGGUACCUAAUCAGAAAACCACGGCUAACUACGU
This 496-nucleotide ribosomal RNA is filed under the name uncultured bacterium. RNAcentral describes it as "partial 16S ribosomal RNA". It matches the Rfam family "Bacterial small subunit ribosomal RNA", at positions 28 to 506 of the family's 1533-position model. The record is from RNAcentral.